RNAcentral lists this ribosomal RNA (305 nucleotides) under uncultured bacterium. RNAcentral's name for it is "bacterial SSU rRNA". It matches the Rfam family "Bacterial small subunit ribosomal RNA", at positions 335 to 657 of the family's 1533-position model. The record is from RNAcentral.
UGCCCUACGGGGGGCAGCAGUGGGGAAUAUUGCACAAUGGGGGGAACCCUGAUGCAGCAAUGCCGCGUGGGUGAAGAAGCACUCCGGUGCGUAAAGCCCUGUCAGCAUGGAAGAAAAUGACAGUACCUGACCAAGAAGCCCCGGCUAACUACGUGCCAGCAGCCGCGGUAAUACGUAGGGGGCAAGCGUUAUCCGGAUUUACUGGGUGUAAAGGGAGCGUAGACGGCAUGGCAAGUCUGAUGUGAAAACCCGGGGCUCAACCCCGGGACUGCAUUGGAAACUGUCAGGCUAGAGUGUCGGAGAGG